GAUGAACGCUGGCGGCGUGCCUAAUACAUGCAAGUCGAGCGAACAGACGAGGAGCUUGCUCCUCUGACGUUAGCGGCGGACGGGUGAGUAACACGUGGAUAACCUACCUAUAAGACUGUGAUAACUUCGGGAAACCGGAGCUAAUACCGGAUAAUAUAUUGAACCGCAUGGUUCAAUAGUGAAAGACGGUUUUGCUGUCACUUAUAGAUGGAUCCGCGCCGCAUUAGCUAGUUGGUAAGGUAACGGCUUACCAAGGCAACGAUGCGUAGCCGACCUGAGAGGGUGAUCGGCCACACUGGAACUGAGACACGGUCCAGACUCCUAAGGGAGGCAGCAGUAGGGAAACAUCCGCAAUGGGAGAAAGACUGACGGAGCAACGCCGCGUGAGUGAUGAAGGUCUUCGGAUCGUAAAACGCUGUUAUUAGGGAAGAACAAAUGUGUAAGUAACUAUGCACGUCUUGACGGUACCUAAUCAGAAAGCCACGGCUAACUACGUG
This 497-nucleotide ribosomal RNA is filed under the name uncultured bacterium. RNAcentral's name for it is "partial 16S ribosomal RNA". It matches the Rfam family "Bacterial small subunit ribosomal RNA", at positions 28 to 507 of the family's 1533-position model. The record is from RNAcentral.